This is a long non-coding RNA of Mandrillus leucophaeus (drill), 549 nucleotides long. RefSeq lists it as uncharacterized. Lineage: Eukaryota; Metazoa; Chordata; Mammalia; Primates; Cercopithecidae. The record is from RefSeq and is a predicted model, not a curated record. The transcript has 3 exons.
UCUCAGCGUCCUCUCCAGUGGAGGACAUGAGCCCUCCCAGGGUCGUGGGAGAGCCAGCGCAGAGGGGAAGGCACCUUGUACGCCGUGAAGCGGGGAUGCAGUUGUUACCCUAACCAGAAGGGCACCCCGUCACAAAUACUGGCGCGCGCGCGUGCGCCACCUGCUUCCCUGCAGAGGGCGCCGCGGGCCAGCCUCGUCGAGCGCGGGGUGGGAUACCGGUAGCCCAGGACAGCCCGCGGAGCAGGCCCGGGCUGCCGCGGACCCCUCUUGCAGAAAAGCCUUUGAUGCUGUAUUCUUAGCACAUGGAACCCUAAACCAAAGCCUGCACUGGGGUGUUUGUGAGAAGCAUGUGUGCAAAGCCUGAGAGACUACCCUGUUGGGUGUGCUGCUGGGCAGGGGUGUUCUGGUUUGACCUUGUACACUUGGCAGUUUUGGAGUUUGCCCACCAGAUAUGUCAUCCAAGAAGACCAAAAGUACAGCAGGAUGAUUGUGAACAAGACCAGGGACCUCAGCUCUUGAAAAAAAAAAAAGGUUGAAACUAUGUACAUU